This 253-nucleotide ribosomal RNA is filed under the name uncultured bacterium. Its description in RNAcentral is "partial 16S ribosomal RNA". It matches the Rfam family "Bacterial small subunit ribosomal RNA", at positions 524 to 776 of the family's 1533-position model. The record is from RNAcentral.
UACGUAGGGUGCAAGCGUUAAUCGGAAUUACUGGGCGUAAAGCGUGCGCAGGCGGUUCGUUAAGUUCGAUGUGAAAGCCCCGGGCUCAACCUGGGAACUGCAUUGGAAACUGGCGGGCUUGAGUGUGGCAGAGGGGGGUGGAAUUCCACGUGUAGCAGUGAAAUGCGUAGAGAUGUGGAGGAACACCGAUGGCGAAGGCAGCCCCCUGGGCUAACACUGACGCUCAGGCACGAAAGCGUGGGGAGCAAACAGG